Molecule: ribosomal RNA, 497 nt
Filed under: uncultured bacterium
Lineage: Bacteria
Description: partial 16S ribosomal RNA
Rfam family: Bacterial small subunit ribosomal RNA
Source: RNAcentral
GACGAACGCUGGCGGCGUGCCUAAUACAUGCAAGUUGAGCGAUGAAGAUUGGUGCUUGCACCAAUUUGAAGAGCAGCGAACGGGUGAGUAACGCGUGGGGAAUCUGCCUUUGAGCGGGGGACAACAUUUGGAAACGAAUGCUAAUACCGCAUAAUAACUUUAAACAUAAGUUUUAAGUUUGAAAGAUGCAAUUGCAUCACUCAAAGAUGAUCCCGCGUUGUAUUAGCUAGUUGGUGAGGUAAAGGCUCACCAAGGCGAUGAUACAUAGCCGACCUGAGAGGGGGAUCGGCCACAUUGGGACUGAGACACGGCCCAAACUCCUACGGGAGGCAGCAGUAGGGAAUCUUCGGCAAGGGACGAAAGUCUGACCGAGCAACGCCGCGGGAGGGAAGAAGGUUUUCGGAUCGUAAAACUCGGUUGGUAGAGAAGAACGUUGGUGAGAGUGGAAAGCUCAUCAAGUGACGGUAACUACCCAGAAAGGGACGGCUAACUACGUG